This 198-nucleotide ribosomal RNA is filed under the name uncultured bacterium. RNAcentral describes it as "partial 16S ribosomal RNA". It matches the Rfam family "Bacterial small subunit ribosomal RNA", at positions 328 to 539 of the family's 1533-position model. The record is from RNAcentral.
ACGCUCGACACCUACGGGGGGCAGCAGUGGGGAAUAUUGCACAAUGGGGGAAACCCUGAUGCAGCGACGCCGCGUGAGCGAAGAAGUAUUUCGGUAUGUAAAGCUCUAUCAGCAGGGAAGAAAGUGACGGUACCUGACUAAGAAGCCCCGGCUAACUACGUGCCAGCAGCCACGGUAAUCUGAGCGGGCUGGCAAGGC